This 757-nucleotide long non-coding RNA is filed under the name Brassica napus (rape). RNAcentral's name for it is "long non-coding RNA (BNAP_LNC000693)". The record is from RNAcentral. Lineage: Eukaryota; Viridiplantae; Streptophyta; Magnoliopsida; Brassicales; Brassicaceae.
ACACUUAAGAGUUUUUCUUCUUUUAUUUUCUUGGUUCCUAUUGGUUUUCUUUUCUUAUUGACACUCUUUGAUCUUUUUCUCUUUUCUCAAACCCAAGAUAUAACAACUUAAAAACACACAAACUCACUCAUUAUCCUAGAUGCUAGUUCAAAUGAGGAUCUUAUGCUAGCAAUAGAUGAGAACAAACAUAUGUCGCUCCCAAUACUCUCAAGAUUUUGCACAUGACAAGCUAUCAAUAAGAGACCUCACUCAACAAAUCGAUAUUGGUUUCAAAGAAUGGCAAGGGUUCAAGGGUAGGGGAGUGCUAUUUGGGUUAAUCAAAGGAUAAGACAUGGAAUAAGAUAACCCAAAUGUGUAUGAAAUCCAUGAUCAAGUAUGCAAGUGCCCAUAUGCCACUCCCAAUACUCUCAAGAUUUUGCACAUGACAAGCUAUCAAUAAGAGACCUCACUCAACAAAUCGAUAUUGGUUUCAAAGAAUGGCAAGGGUUCAAGGGUAGGGGAGUGCUAUUUGGGUUAAUCAAAGGAUAAGACAUGGAAUAAGAUAACCCAAAUGUGUAUGAAAUCCAUGAUCAAGUAUGCAAGUGCCCAUAUGCAAGAGAGAUUAAAUUCAUUAUGCUCAAGUUCAGUUUGUAAUUGGUUUCAAGAACAAUGUCAAUAUCAUAUGAGCAACAUGUUUCAAAAAGAGUUUUCAAGGCUCAAGAGAUGCUUGUAGAUAUGUUCUUUUCAUGGCAAUUUCAAUCAUGGCUCCCUAUGCAUA